UAAGAUCUAUAUGUUUUAAUCCACUCCAUUGCAACUUCAAGGAGAUAUGAUUAUUUACUUCAAUCUGUUUAACUGCAGUGUCAGGGAAACAAGAUUCGCCGCCGUGACUUCAAUCUAUUCCACUACACCGCCAAGGAAGUAAGAUUCGCCGUUGUGGCUUCAAUCUUUUAAAUUGCAAUAUCAUGGAAACCAGAUCCGCCGUCGUGGCUUCAAUCUGCUCCACUACACCGCCAGGGAAGUAAGAUCCGCCAUUGUGGCUUCAAUCUUUUUUAUUGCAAUGUUAAGGAAACCAGAUCCGUCGUCGUAGCUUUAAUCUGUUCCACUAUACUGCCAGGGAAGCAAGAUUCGCCGUUGUGGCUUCAAUCCGUUCCACUGUAAUGCCAAAGAGAUAGGAUUCGCUGCCCACAGCUUCAAUCCGCUCCACUUCAACUAAUCCAAGCCUUAACGCCAGGGAGAUAAGAUACGCCGUCGUGGCUUCAAUCUGCUCCGCUGCAAUGCCAGGAAAAUAAGACCCGCCAUUGUGGCUUCAAUCUUUUUAAUUACAAUGCCAAAGAGAUAGGACUCGCUGCCCACAGCUUUAAUCUGCUCCACUUCAGCUAAUCCAAGUCUUAACACCAGGGAGAAAAGAUUCGCCGUCGUGGCUUCAAUCUGCUCCGCUGAGACGCCAGGAAAAUAAGAUCCGCCAUUGUGGCUUCAGUCUUUUCCAUUGCAACGUCAAGGCGAUAAGACGGGUAUCUUCGAUCUGCUUCGCUACCAGUACAGGAAGGCAAGAUCUGUCAUUUUCAACCUACUCCACUACUACCUAGGGAGACAAGGCUGGUAUCUUCGAUCUACUUCACUGCCAAUACAGGAAGACAAGAUCUGCUAUUUUUAACCUAUUCCACUGCUGCUCAGGGAGAUAAGGCUGAAGUUUCACCAGUUUGUUCUCUAGGGAACAUGAC
RNAcentral lists this long non-coding RNA (941 nucleotides) under Gossypium raimondii (Peruvian cotton). Its description in RNAcentral is "long non-coding RNA (GRAI_LNC007204)". The record is from RNAcentral. Lineage: Eukaryota; Viridiplantae; Streptophyta; Magnoliopsida; Malvales; Malvaceae.